This 421-nucleotide ribosomal RNA is filed under the name uncultured bacterium. Its description in RNAcentral is "bacterial SSU rRNA". It matches the Rfam family "Bacterial small subunit ribosomal RNA", at positions 356 to 774 of the family's 1533-position model. The record is from RNAcentral.
AGGGAAUCUUCCACAAUGGGCGAAAGCCUGAUGGAGCAACGCCGCGUGAGUGAUGAAGGUUUUCGGAUCGUAAAACUCUGUUGUUAGGGAAGAACACCCGAGAGAGGAUCUCGGACUGACGGUACCUAACGAGAAAGCCCCGGCUAACUACGUGCCAGCAGCCGCGGUCAUACGUAGGUGGCAAGCGUUGUCCGGAUUUACUGGGCGUAAAGGAUGCGUAGGCGGAUACUUAAGUCAGAUGUGAAAAUCCCGGGCUUAACUUGGGAACUGCAUUUGAAACUGGGUAUCUUGAGUGCGGGAGAGGAAAGUGGAAUUCCUAGUGUAGCGGUGAAAUGCGUAGAGAUUAGGAAGAACACCAGUGGCGAAGGCGACUUUCUGGACCGUAACUGACGCUGAGGCAUGAAAGCGUGGGGAGCAAACA